Molecule: unclassified non-coding RNA, 348 nt
Filed under: uncultured Absidia
Lineage: Eukaryota; Fungi; Mucoromycota; Mucoromycetes; Mucorales; Mucoraceae
Description: sequence contains ITS1
Rfam family: 5.8S ribosomal RNA (bases 1-105)
Source: RNAcentral
AAACGGCGAAACGUCAUGUGACCUGCAUGCUUUGCGAAUCAUCAAAUCUUUGAACGCAUCUUGCACCUGCGGCCCUGCGGCCCAGGUAUGCUUGUUUGAGUAUCGUGAACACCAUCACGCCCAUGGGGACGCGGGCGUGGAUCUGGGGGUGAUGGGUGGACAGGUCGAUCGCAUGGGGACGCGAGCCCACCACCAUCUCCCCUCAAAGGCAGCACGCAGCCGAUGAGGUAACACCGUCAGAGGCGGACGUGAACGACGCGGAUAUAGUGUGGUGAGACACGCUUGAUGCGCCAGCAAUCUUCGGAUUCAAUUCCAUCUCAAACAAGUAAGAGGACCCGCUGAACUUAA